UAUUCAUGAGCAUCAAAGGAGUUUAAAGAGAUGUUAAUCACGGAGAAGGAAAGAAAGUUCGCCGCGUAUGGCGGCAGCCAAAUCUGAUUCAAUCAUAGCAGUCAAGUUUAGCCACUAAUAUGAAUAUGAAGACACGGAUCUAAGUCCUUCACAGGAAUCUGAAUAACUAAACGUAUUCGGAUCCAAAACUAUAACAUAUGUUUCAAAAAAAUAUAGAUUCCUUGUUGACUAAUAUUGUAGACAUCUCAUAAGGCCAUAACCAUUCUAACUAUUGCGUAUGGCUUAAUUAUGAGUUUGUAUAGUUUAUGUGCACUUUUCGUUAAAUAAUAUUUACAUACUUGAUUAGUUAAUGUUGGGAUGUUUUCUUCAUUAACUCAACAUGUAUGUUAAAAAAAAC
RNAcentral lists this long non-coding RNA (397 nucleotides) under Brassica rapa (field mustard). RNAcentral's name for it is "long non-coding RNA (BRAP_LNC004521)". The record is from RNAcentral. Lineage: Eukaryota; Viridiplantae; Streptophyta; Magnoliopsida; Brassicales; Brassicaceae.